RNAcentral lists this ribosomal RNA (497 nucleotides) under uncultured bacterium. RNAcentral describes it as "partial 16S ribosomal RNA". It matches the Rfam family "Bacterial small subunit ribosomal RNA", at positions 28 to 507 of the family's 1533-position model. The record is from RNAcentral.
GAUGAACGCUGGCGGCGUGCCUAAUACAUGCAAGUCGAGCGAACAGACGAGGAGCUUGCUCCUUCGACGUUAGCGGCGGACGGGCGAGUAACACGUAGGUAACCUACCUAUAAGACUGGGAUAACUUCGGGAAACCGGAGCUAAUACCGGAUAAUAUUUCGAACCGCAUGGUUCGAUAGUGGAAGAUGGCUUUGCUAUCACUUAUAGAUGGACCUGCGCCGUAUUAGCUAGUUGGUAAGGUAACGGCUUACCAAGGCAACGAUACGUAGCCGACCUGAGAGGGUGAUCGGCCACACUGGAACUGAGACACGGUCCAGACUCCUACGGGAGGCAGCAGUAGGGAAUCUUCCGCAAUGGGCGAAAGCCUGACGGAGCAACGCCGCGUGAGUGAUGAAGGUCUUCGGAUCGUAAAACUCUGUUAUUAGGGAAGAACAAACGUGUAAGUAACUGUGCACGUCUUGACGGUACCUAAUCAGAAAGCCACGGCUAACUACGUG